CCUACGGGUGGCAGCAGUAGGGAAUAUUGCUCAAUGGGGGAAACCCUGAAGCAGCAACGCCGCGUGAGUGAAGAAGUAUUUCGGUAUGUAAAGCUCUGUCAGCAGGGAAGAAAGCAAUGACGGUACAUGACCAAGAAGCCCCGGCUAACUACGUGCCAGCAGCCGCGGUAAUACGUAGGGGGCAAGCGUUAUCCGGAUUUACUGGGUGUAAGGGAGGUGAGAGGGAUGGGCAAGUCUGGAGUGAAAGGCGGGGGCCCAACCCCCGGGCUGCUCUGGAAACUGUAUGGCUGGAGUGCAGGGGAGGCAAGCGGAAUUCCUAGUGUAGCGGUGAAAUGCGUAGAUAUUAGGAAGAACACCAGUGGCGAAGGCGGCUUACUGGACUGUAACUGACGUUGAGGCUCGAAAGCGUGGGGAGCAAACAGGAUUAGGUACCCGAGUAGUC
RNAcentral lists this ribosomal RNA (442 nucleotides) under uncultured bacterium. RNAcentral's name for it is "partial 16S ribosomal RNA". It matches the Rfam family "Bacterial small subunit ribosomal RNA", at positions 338 to 795 of the family's 1533-position model. The record is from RNAcentral.